RNAcentral lists this non-coding RNA (55 nucleotides) under unclassified sequences. RNAcentral describes it as "Glutamine-I sequence". It matches the Rfam family "Glutamine riboswitch aptamer (glnA leader)". The record is from RNAcentral.
CUCGUUCAUCUUCGCAAGAAGACGGAAGUAGGUAAUGGUACCGAAGGAACGCAUC